Molecule: ribosomal RNA, 184 nt
Filed under: Klebsiella pneumoniae
Lineage: Bacteria; Pseudomonadati; Pseudomonadota; Gammaproteobacteria; Enterobacterales; Enterobacteriaceae
Description: partial 16S ribosomal RNA
Rfam family: Bacterial small subunit ribosomal RNA
Source: RNAcentral
ACUUAAAUUGAAGAGUUUGAUCAUGGCUCAGAUUGAACGCUGGCGGCAGGCCUAACACAUGCAAGUCGAGCGGUAGCACAGAGAGCUUGCUCUCGGGUGACGAGCGGCGGACGGGUGAGUAAUGUCUGGGAAACUGCCUGAUGGAGGGGUAUAACUACUGGAAACGGUAGCUAAUACCGCAUAA